Molecule: ribosomal RNA, 789 nt
Filed under: uncultured Methanospirillum sp.
Lineage: Archaea; Methanobacteriati; Methanobacteriota; Methanomicrobia; Methanomicrobiales; Methanospirillaceae
Description: bacterial SSU rRNA
Rfam family: Archaeal small subunit ribosomal RNA
Source: RNAcentral
ACGGCUCAGUAACACGUGGACAAUCUGCCCUGAAGAAGAGGAUAAUCCCGGGAAACUGGGGGUAAUACUCUAUAGUCCGGGAGGACUGGAAUGUUCUCCGGAUGAAAGAUCCGUCGCUUCAGGAUGAGUCUGCGGCCGAUUAGGUAGUUGUUGGGGUAAAAGCCCAACAAGCCCGUAAUCGGUACGGGUUGUGGGAGCAAGAGCCCGGAGAUGGAUUCUGAGACACGAAUCCAGGCCCUACGGGGCGCAGCAGGCGCGAAAACUUUACAAUGCGGGCAACCGUGAUAAGGAAACCCCGAGUGCCACCACAGGGUGGCUGUCCACCAGUGUAAAAAACUGGUGAAGAAAGGGCCGGGCAAGACCGGUGCCAGCCGCCGCGGUAAUACCGGCGGCUCGAGUGGUGGCCGCUUUUACUGGGCUUAAAGGGUCCGUAGCUUGAUUCACAAGUCCCUUGAGAAAUCCAUCGGCUUAACUGAUGGGCGUUCAGGGGAUACUGUGGUUCUAGGGACCGGGAGAGGUGAGAGGUACUGCCGGGGUAGGAGUGAAAUCCUGUAAUCCCGGUGGGACGACCUAUGGCGAAGGCAUCUCACCAGAACGGCUCCGACAGUGAGGGACGAAAGCUGGGGGAGCAAACCGGAUUAGAUACCCGGGUAGUCCCAGCUGUAAACGAUGCGCGUUAGGUGUGUCAGUGAUCACGUGUCACUGAGAUGCCGAAGGGAAACCGUGAAACGCGCCGCCUGGGGAGUACGGUCGCAAGGCUGAAACUUAAAGGAAUUGGCGGGGGAGCAC